RNA transcript from Salvia splendens (bonfire salvia), 3053 nucleotides. It is a transcript of the gene named putative late blight resistance protein homolog R1A-3, with no coding region annotated. The transcript is spliced from 3 exons. Lineage: Eukaryota; Viridiplantae; Streptophyta; Magnoliopsida; Lamiales; Lamiaceae. The record is from RefSeq and is a predicted model, not a curated record.
GAGACGCUGACAGUAAUAAAGGAAACUUUCUGAACAGCGAUAGAGAGAGAGAGUGCAAAAAUGGCUUAUGCACUCAUCGUUUCUCUAAAGCUGACUUUAGAUCCCCUUCUAGAUUCCGCUCAAUCCAUGGUUCAUAUUCAUAAACCAGAGCUUAAAUUGAUUUACGACGAUCUAUGCUAUAUAAAAUCCUUUUUCGAUGGAAUGAAUUCUCUGCGAGAUAGAAACAGCGCUGAGGAUCUGGAAAAAGAUAUCAGGCGUAUCCUGGAGUAUACUCAAGAUCUGAUUGAAGCUCAUCUAUCAAAUCUAGCUCAGUCUGAAUCUCAGAUCCCUGGAGAUGAGAUUUCGAUUUCAAGGUUUUCCAAAAAAUUGAUAGAAGUCAAAGAUAAGUUGAAGGCCAAGAAAUAUGAAGUUGCAGUGUUGAAGGCUAAGAAAGAUGAAAUUUUGAAGGCCAAGGAAGAACUGUUGAAGUCUCAGGAGGAAGAGGACCAGCAAUCGCCCCAUCAUUUUGGUAUUUCAUCAAAAAUUGGUUUUGAGAAGAAUAAAAAGACAGUGGGAUUGCAAGGUGAAGUAAGUAGGCUGUUGGAUUUGCUUUUGAGUGACAAUAGAAGGCGUACACUAAUCUCUAUUGGUGGGAUGGCUGGCAUUGGUAAGACUACUCUUGCCACAGAGGUAUAUCUCCAUCCAUUUGUGGAACAACAUUUCCAUAUGAGGAGAUUCAUAAACAUAGGUGCGAGAUAUCCGUUGGAAGAAUUACUGUCGGGUCUUCUUGGUCAACUAGAUUCCACGGAAAUGAAAGAACUGACGGUUGAUGAAUUAGGUUUGCAUCUGUACCAAUACUUAUUUGGUAGGAGGUAUCUGAUUGUAUUAGAUGACAUGUGGAAUCUCGAGGCUUGGGACGAAAUUCGACGUUUCUUUCCAAAUAAUGAAAAUGGCAGUCGAAUCAUUUGCACAAGUAGGCUGAAUGGCGUUUGUGAUGCUUUCUACGAUAGAAAGCUUCAAAAGCGUUUCCUGGAUGGGGAAGAAAGUUGGCAUUUACUUUGUAUGAUUGCGUUUCCUGACAUGCAGAUGUGCCCUUUAGAACUUGAGGAAAUUGGGAGGUCAAUCACCACUUACUCGGAUGGACUUCCCGCUGCAAUAGUUGAGAUUGGUAAAGUCCUAUCUAAUUCACCACCAACGCUGAAAAGUUGGACGGAAAUAACUCGAAAUAUGUCAAUGAUCCUGGCACCAAUGAUUUCAAAGCUUAUGAGUCCAUCUUAUGCUCAAUUGCCUCAGCAAUUGAAGGCAUGCUUUCUUUACUUGGGGCUAUUCCAACCCAACUAUAAUAUCCCCACUUCUCAGCUUCUUAGAUUAUGGGUGGCGGAGGGACUUAUCAGGCCUAUAGCAGGUAAAGGGUUAGAACUAACAGCCGAGGAGUAUCUGCACAACCUUGUUUCAAGAAAUCUUGUUGUGGUCCAUGAGCUGAGCUCCACUGGCAAAAUUAAAACAUGCAGAUGCCAUGAGCUCGUUCAGAAUUUUUGUGUAAAUGAAGCUCGACAGGAGAAAUUGUUCCAUAUUGUAAACAAGGGUUUUCCACAAGGCACAGAAAGCCUGCGGCGGCUGGGUGUCCACAGCAACGAUGUACUUGGCGACUUCAGAAAAGUGUAUAAAUCGAUGGAAUUGGCUUCAGUUGCACGUUCUCUUCUUUUUGUAGGCCCUCAGCACAAACAUCCAGUAAAGGUGUAUCUGGGGUUUCCAUGGCUGAGGGUACUAGAUGCACUUCCGCUCAUAUUCCACAGGUUCCCACACAAAGUUACAAAACUAGUUCGGUUGAGGUACCUUGCCAUCACAUGUGAUGGGCGGCUCCCAUCGUCCAUAUCCACACUCUUGAACCUUGAAGUUUUGAUUAUUAAUCAGACUAAGACCACCAAGCCCUCUCUGUUUAUGUUUCUGCCUUUAGAGAUCUGGAAGCUACAGAAACUAAGGCACCUUGAGUGUAUGGGAUUUGACCUACCAGAUCCUUCUGUGAGUUAUGAUAGCAAUUUUCGAUUCCUGUAUAAUCUUCUGACACUUUCAGGUGUGAGUACUCAUAGUUGUACGAAGACAAUCCUUUUAAGGAUGCCCAGACUGAUAAAGUUAGCGUUAUGGUCUCACCCAACACACAACCAUGCUGUUGAAAUUAACUUUUUCAAUGCUGUUUUUACAUACCUCCAUAAGCUUGAGUCAUUGAAAUGUGUUAUUACCAAUCCUGGUCUUGUAUCUAGAGCUCCAUCUUACCAUAUCAUACUCCCUUUUAGUCUUAGAAAGAUAACCUUGAGUGGAUGUAAAUUUAUGUGGGAGAAGCAUAUGUCCAUUUCUCAAUUACCGUUUCUUCAAGUGCUCAAAUUGCGAUGUGGUGCCUUUUGCGGCCCUAAGUGGGAAUUAUGCGAGGGGGGGUUUAUGCAUCUAAAAUUACUGCUGUUGGAAGACUUGGAUAUUGAACAUUUGAUCGCAGACUCUGACCACCUUCCAGUUUUGCAACGAUUGAUCAUUAGGAGUUGCUACAAACUGCAUGAGAUUCCCAUCGGUAUUGGAGAUAUUCCAUCACUUCAACUUAUAGAGGUGGAUGAUUGCAGCAUGUCUGUCAUUCAAUCAGCAAGAGACAUAAAGGUGGAACAAGAGGAGCUAGGAAAUGAACAACUAGAAGUCCGUAUCCGUCAUACUGGAAAUGAAACAUGUUGAUGUCCCUGUUAGGUACCAAAGUUACAGAGAGACCAAAAGAGUUCGUAAAUUUGGAAGUGCAGGAGUUGUCAUAGGGAUUCUGGUGAUUUUUGUCUCAGCCAGAGUUCUCAUCAAAUGAAUCAUUGACAUGGACUCGGCUCCCGUUGCCAAGUCCAUCAACGUGCAACCAUCCACAGCUCAUUGUGGUCCCCUUACAUCUUCACAAGCCCACCCAUCAAAGCCUAGAUGGCUAGAUGCCAAAUCAGCCGCAUAAGAAGAGAGAGAGAUUUGAUUAGCAUAUCAAUCUAAAGUAUUCCGUAUCUUCUAUUAUUUCAUCAAUUGUUCAUGUAAUCUUAUUUCAAAUUAUUUUCUCAUAU